ACCCUCUCAGGGUCACACCUGGAGAGUUCCCAGUACUCUACCAGUCUCGACUACAGGAGGGAGUGUCAGGCAGAGGCAUAUCCAUUCCGUUCUUAGCUUGGGCAGUGGCUAGCGAGUGGAAGGCACUCUGCUACCAGU
Molecule: small nucleolar RNA, 138 nt
Filed under: Ornithorhynchus anatinus (platypus)
Lineage: Eukaryota; Metazoa; Chordata; Mammalia; Monotremata; Ornithorhynchidae
Source: RNAcentral